RNA transcript from Perognathus longimembris pacificus (Pacific pocket mouse), 3878 nucleotides. It is a transcript of the gene named prokineticin 2, with no coding region annotated. The transcript has 5 exons. The record is from RefSeq and is a predicted model, not a curated record. Lineage: Eukaryota; Metazoa; Chordata; Mammalia; Rodentia; Heteromyidae.
CCUGGGCAGGACUAGCAUCCCAAGAAGGAGAUGAGACUUGCUCAUUAAGAGUAAUAAAAUGAGGCACAGAUGAAGGAACCAAAACACUACAAAAAAAAAAAAAGACAGAGACAUUUUCCAUCAGCAUAUGGUAAAGCUAUACCAAGACCAAGAGAGUCAUUGGCAAUUUGCUCUUGAAGGUGGAAAAUAUAUUUUGCCCCCCAGAGGACCAUACGCCACACCAAGGUGGGCUAUGUAGGAAGAGAGUCAUAUCCAGGGAGUAUAGACAUGAAUAAGCUGAAGCACAAAGUUUGCAGCAUGUGUGUGUAAGAGUGUGUCUGUGUCUGUGCGUGUGUGUCUCUCUGUGUGUCUGUGUGUGUGCCAUGACUUGACUGUGGCUCUAGACAUACUAACCUACACAUGUGACAAAUAGCACAGAACUAAAUCCACAGACACAAGCAGACGAGUCAAGCAAAGCUGGGUAAGUGGGAUGAUGUCUAUGAUGGAAUCUGAAGCAGGAGGCUUAGGGCCCAGAUCCAACUAGAGGGGUCUCCCAUGACAGCUCUAGCCCCUCACCCCAACAUGUCAAAUAAAGAGACAAUGCAUGGUGAAGGGCUUGGCUACUUGGUAUGUACUUGCUGCCAGAAGAGGUGAAGUCUAUCGUUGGGGUAGAGACAGGAGCUGUAGGUUUCAACCAAGAAGAAAUUUGGGGUAGGAGGAGAAAGGUAUAUAUAAUUAUGAAACAGUCCUGGUCAGUGUGGCCUGGUUGGUCAUUAUGAGGAAGUUGUUACGAAGGCCCCUUUUGAGGGGAGCAAUGUGGUCAACAUAGGUAAGUCAUGGUGGCCUGGCAGGUGGUCAGUUCUGAGGAGGACUUCCGCUUCCCCACUCCUUGUGUGCAGGUUCAUCUGUCCCUCCUAGUAAAGAUGUUAUCCACCCAUCUUGACCUUCCACGAUUCCCAGGUGACUGCAAAGAGACUGACCGGAGAACCACUUAGAGAGAAGAAGACAGAUGGAAAAUGGAAGCCAAGCUCUUGUGUUUUUAUUUUUUUUUUAUUCAUGAACCCAGGUAAGGAGUUGGUGCUUUUUAGCAAAAGGAAAUUCUAAGUAUCUGUUAUAUAUCCACACCCAUGUCCUGCUUGUGAUGUUCCACUCUAGCUGAUCACAGUGUUACCAAUGGGAGAAACUGGGAAUCCUGCACCAGAAUUUCUUGGUAUUGCUUCUUACAAUGUCAUGUGAGGCGAGCUCAAAGUUGAAUAGAGCUUUUAGAAGUUCACAACAAAGUUCACAUCUCCCAGUGUGGUUGAAAUAUUCCCAGAGAGCAUUUCAGCACUGGAUCCUGUUCCUCCUCCUUCUCUCUUGCCACAAUGUGGCCAUGUUGUUGAUAACCCUGCCUCAUUAGACCCUGGCAGCUGGGGAAACAGUUGCAGACCAUGGCUCAGGCAAGGUUUCUAGGAGAAAUCUCUGACUCUGGGAGGUUCCACUGAAGACACACAGCCUGCUCACCGGCUCCAGCGUAGCCACGUCUGAGAGUUGAGGGUUGGGACAGCAACUAUGAAAUGGUGGAUCCCAGUGCUGGCUCCUGCUAUAUAUAAGCUGCUUUUCGCCAUGAUUAGGAUCAUGUCCUUGAGUCUGAGUACUUGGUCCAUACUGGGCUUCCCUGUGAGAACAUCAACUCCAUGAAGACAGGGACAUUUAAGUGGGCUCCUUGUCAUCCCACUGAUUGGCAGUGCCUUGUUAGAGUGGCCGUGUGUGAUCUCUGCCUUCCCAGAGCCAUUUGGUGUUCUUCUGUCCAUGGCACCAUCUUUAAUCUCUGGGGAACCAGCCAGCCCCCACUGCAGUCAUGGAGACAAUUUGAGUCAUGUGAGCGGGUUUUUAAAAUUUUAUUUAGUGUGUAUGUGUGUGUGUGUGCAUGCGCGUGUGUGUGCAUGCACACAGGUGCACAAAUGCAUGUGCACACCCAUACUACGGCUUGAACGCAGGACUUCUGAACUCUUGAUUUUUUCCCUCAUGGCUACUGUUCUACCACUUAAGCCCGUACCUCCACUUCUGGCUUUUUGCUGGUUAUUUGAAAAGUCUUAACAAACUUUCCUGCUCAAGCUGGCUUCACGCUGUGGUCCUUAGAUCUCAACCUCCUAAGCAGUUAGGAUUACAAGGGUGUCCUGGUUCUUGAUCUAAAGGGAGCCAGAGGACCCAGGGCAAACAUAUUUUUGCUAAAAUAACUUAAAAGACAAAUUGUCUCUUUCCCUUAUAGUUAGUGUUCUAAUAAGCUAUCCAUCUCCUGCACUACUCCCACCCAAGAUUAGUACCUGCACUAGUGGAAAACUUAGCACAAAAACAAAACAGAUACUAAGCCUUGAGGCCUUGUUUAAGCACCUGGGUCUAGCCAUCCCUUAAGCUAUAGCCUCAGACUUUUGAAUCAUGUAGAUAACUGGACUCUUUUUUUUUUUUUUUUUUCACUUUCAGCUAGUGUGAAGUGUGAGUUUCUGUCAUUUACAAUCACAAAGUCAUCCAGGUACUUACAUAGGGAUUUCAAAAAUGAAUGAAUGAACCAAUGCAAUUCUACAAAUAGGGACUGAAUAUUUCCUAUGUGGCACUGUUUCAAGUCCCAAACUAAAGGACAGAGGAUCUUCAGAAUUGACUCCUUCCCUUUGAAUCCAAGCAUGUGGCCUGCUGAUCUAGAAUGUGGAUCAAUUCAUCUAAUUACAGUGGCUGCUGAGAAAGAAAUAUCGCCUUUCUUCCCAACUUCUCCUUUGUCUUCUCUCAGCAGCACAGUGUGGGCCCUGCUGGGGCGGAGGCAUGGCCUGUGGAGUUCCUAACACCAGUACAUCCGCCCCUUAGGCCACGUGCUGGCUUCUCUCUGGACCAAAGAUUACAGCGAAGGACUGAACUGUUUUGCUGCCAUUUUGUCUGAAUAACUUCUUUGUUUCAAGUACUGUUUUUAUUUCCGUGAAAUCUGAGGGAGAACAAUGGCCUGAAGAGGGUAAGAGUUAACAAGUACCCUGUAGCUCUUGAGUGUGUUGAUGCUGUUCAUUUUUGCAAGCUCUGGCAAUGAACCCAAGCACCAGAGAAAGAUGAUUACCAUCAAAGAAAAAAUGGAACUUCUCAACCUAUUAAAGGAAGGCAAAAGCUACAGCUGUAGGCCACCACUAUAGGAUCGACUUAUCUACUGUUCACUACAUAAAAAAAUGAGAAUAUUAAUAGGUUUUGGGUAACGAUGACUUUUAACAAGACUGCAAAGAGGGUGGUCACUUCCGCAAUAGGGCCAUUGUGAGGAUGGAGUCUGCAUUGGCCCCACGGUUACAUGACUGAAGGAAGAAGACUAUCUCACUGGAUACCAACAUCAUCGGAACAAAGGCCAAGACACUUUAUGAUCACUAUUUGGAAAGCAUGGGUGUUCAUGGUGAUGAGGAUGAAGAUGAAGAUGCCAACGAAGGAGAAGCAGGAUAGUUGAGUGCUUCCCCCACCAGACCAACCCCAUCAGUGCCAGCAAGGACUGGUUUAACAAAUUUCAAAGACACUUUGGAUUCAAGAGUGUUUCUCUGCAUGGAGAAGCUGCCUCUGAAAGUUGAAGCCAAGCAGUCAGUACCUGCAUAACAUGUUCAAAUCCAUCACCAAGGAAUAGGGCUAUAAAUCUGAGAUGAACUCAGCAAGGGAAGAAGAGGAUGAGGAACAAGACAAACUACAGGUUGGGGAAGAGGAGGAGGCUGGCCUAAUACCCAAUCGUCUUGCAACCAUGGUCAGAAUGGCCAACGAACUUCAACAAGUAGCUGAAGAAUGGGACUCCUGAGAUGCUUUAUUCUUUGUACUUCCUAAAUACAGUUGGGAGUGGCAUGUCAGUUUGUAAACACCUUCUCACUCAGAAGAAAAAGCAACUCCAGCAGCUCCGCAUAACUAUGUUC